This 555-nucleotide ribosomal RNA is filed under the name Candida albicans. RNAcentral's name for it is "eukaryotic LSU rRNA". It matches the Rfam family "Eukaryotic large subunit ribosomal RNA", at positions 76 to 647 of the family's 3401-position model. Lineage: Eukaryota; Fungi; Ascomycota; Pichiomycetes; Serinales; Debaryomycetaceae. The record is from RNAcentral.
UGCCUCAGUAGCGGCGAGUGAGCGGCAAAAGCUCAAAUUUGAAAUCUGGCGUCUUUGGCGUCCGAGUUGUAAUUUGAAGAAGGUAUCUUUGGGCCCGGCUCUUGUCUAUGUUCCUUGGAACAGGACGUCACAGAGGGUGAGAAUCCCGUGCGAUGAGAUGACCCGGGUCUGUGUAAAGUUCCUUCGACGAGUCGAGUUGUUUGGGAAUGCAGCUCUAAGUGGGUGGUAAAUUCCAUCUAAAGCUAAAUAUUGGCGAGAGACCGAUAGCGAACAAGUACAGUGAUGGAAAGAUGAAAAGAACUUUGAAAAGAGAGUGAAAAAGUACGUGAAAUUGUUGAAAGGGAAGGGCUUGAGAUCAGACUUGGUAUUUUGCAUGUUGCUCUCUCGGGGGCGGCCGCUGCGGUUUACCGGGCCAGCAUCGGUUUGGAGCGGCAGGAUAAUGGCGGAGGAAUGUGGCACGGCUUCUGCUGUGUGUUAUAGCCUCUGACGAUACUGCCAGCCUAGACCGAGGACUGCGGUUUUUACCUAGGAUGUUGGCAUAAUGAUCUUAAGUCG